CCUACGGGGGGCAGCAGUGGGGAAUAUUGCACAAUGGGCGCAAGCCUGAUGCAGCCAUGCCGCGUGUGUGAAGAAGGCCUUCGGGUUGUAAAGCACUUUCAGCGGGGAGGAAGGCGGUGAGGUUAAUAACCUCAUCGAUUGACGUUACCCGCAGAAGAAGCACCGGCUAACUCCGUGCCAGCAGCCACGGUAAUACGGAGGGUGCGAGCGUUAAUCGGAAUUACUGGGCGUAAAGCGCACGCAGGCGGUCUGUCAAGUCGGAUGUGAAAUCCCCGGGCUCAACCUGGGAACUGCAUUCGAAACUGGCAGGCUAGAGUCUUGUAGAGGGGGGUAGAAUUCCAGGUGUAGCGGUGAAAUGCGUAGAGAUCUGGAGGAAUACCGGUGGCGAAGGCGGCCCCCUGGACAAAGACUGACGCUCAGGUGCGAAAGCGUGGGGAGCAAACAGGAUUAGAUACCCCAGUAGUC
Molecule: ribosomal RNA, 465 nt
Filed under: uncultured Klebsiella sp.
Lineage: Bacteria; Pseudomonadati; Pseudomonadota; Gammaproteobacteria; Enterobacterales; Enterobacteriaceae
Description: bacterial SSU rRNA
Rfam family: Bacterial small subunit ribosomal RNA
Source: RNAcentral